Molecule: transfer RNA, 88 nt
Filed under: Burkholderia ubonensis
Lineage: Bacteria; Pseudomonadati; Pseudomonadota; Betaproteobacteria; Burkholderiales; Burkholderiaceae
Description: tRNA-Ser
Rfam family: tRNA
About the family: Transfer RNA (tRNA) molecules are approximately 80 nucleotides in length.
Source: RNAcentral
GGAGAGGUGCCGGAGUGGUCUAACGGCGUCGCUUGGAAGGCGAAUGGGUGGAAACGCCACAAGAGUUCGAAUCUCUUCCUCUCCGCCA